GAGAGUUGCAAAACUCCCUCAAACCAUCGUGAACCUACCUCUGAACAGUUGCUUCGGCAGGCCGGCCCUCCCCCGGGGGGUCGCCAAAGGCCUGCCGAAGGUACCCAAACCAUUGUUUUUACAGGCCUCUCUGAGUAUCGCACUUAAUAAUUA
Molecule: unclassified non-coding RNA, 153 nt
Filed under: uncultured Lasiosphaeriaceae
Lineage: Eukaryota; Fungi; Ascomycota; Sordariomycetes; Sordariales; Lasiosphaeriaceae
Description: sequence contains ITS1
Source: RNAcentral